Molecule: long non-coding RNA, 363 nt
Organism: Hyaena hyaena (striped hyena)
Lineage: Eukaryota; Metazoa; Chordata; Mammalia; Carnivora; Hyaenidae
Exons: 3
Source: RefSeq, a predicted model, not a curated record
CUGCAGCCCUUAAACAGUACGGAGCCCUCAUUGAGAGAAGCCGGGUGUUCUCCCUGGCGGCGGUCAACAGGGCCAUAAAAUGCAGAACUAGACGUUCCUGGGGCCUACACCUCCUUCGCCGCUAAUGACUCUUAGUCUCUGGAAGCAUCUCCAAGCACAAAAGUAGGAUCAGGGGUUCCGUCUGGCGGAGGAGGGAGCAGUAAGAAAGCGACAGGUUCACCGUGUCAACUGCAUUGUGGAAGCGGAGCUCAAGGUCAAGAGUUAAUUUCCCCUGAAACAACAUUCCGUGAUUUUAGGAAAUGGAAUGUGCCCGAUAGCAUGUCUGUGAUCAGAGAGAAACAAUAAAUUGGUCCCUUCUGGAGA